RNAcentral lists this ribosomal RNA (1483 nucleotides) under Mesobacillus selenatarsenatis. RNAcentral describes it as "bacterial SSU rRNA". It matches the Rfam family "Bacterial small subunit ribosomal RNA". Lineage: Bacteria; Bacillati; Bacillota; Bacilli; Caryophanales; Bacillaceae. The record is from RNAcentral.
AACAUGCACCUUGAGCUGGAUGGGUUCUAUUGGGCUUGCAUUAUCUCGUACACGUAUUCAGGCGGCGGACGGGUGAGUAACACGUGGGCAACCUGCCUGUAAGACUGGGAUAACUUCGGGAAACCGGAGCUAAUACCGGAUAAUCCUUUCCCUCACAUGAGGGAAAGCUGAAAGACGGUUUCGGCUGUCACUUACAGAUGGGCCCGCGGCGCAUUAGCUAGUUGGUGAGGUAACGGCUCACCAAGGCAACGAUGCGUAGCCGACCUGAGAGGGUGAUCGGCCACACUGGGACUGAGACACGGCCCAGACUCCUACGGGAGGCAGCAGUAGGGAAUCUUCCGCAAUGGACGAAAGUCUGACGGAGCAACGCCGCGUGAACGAUGAAGGCUUUCGGGUCGUAAAGUUCUGUUGUCAGGGAAGAACAAGUACCGGAGUAACUGCCGGUACCUUGACGGUACCUGACCAGAAAGCCACGGCUAACUACGUGCCAGCAGCCGCGGUAAUACGUAGGUGGCAAGCGUUGUCCGGAAUUAUUGGGCGUAAAGCGCGCGCAGGCGGUUCCUUAAGUCUGAUGUGAAAGCCCCCGGCUCAACCGGGGAGGGUCAUUGGAAACUGGGGAACUUGAGUGCAGAAGAGGAGAGCGGAAUUCCACGUGUAGCGGUGAAAUGCGUAGAGAUGUGGAGGAACACCAGUGGCGAAGGCGGCUCUCUGGUCUGUAACUGACGCUGAGGCGCGAAAGCGUGGGGAGCGAACAGGAUUAGAUACCCUGGUAGUCCACGCCGUAAACGAUGAGUGCUAAGUGUUAGAGGGUUUCCGCCCUUUAGUGCUGCAGCAAACGCAUUAAGCACUCCGCCUGGGGAGUACGGCCGCAAGGCUGAAACUCAAAGGAAUUGACGGGGGCCCGCACAAGCGGUGGAGCAUGUGGUUUAAUUCGAAGCAACGCGAAGAACCUUACCAGGUCUUGACAUCCUCUGACAACCCUAGAGAUAGGGCGUUCCCCUUCGGGGGACAGAGUGACAGGUGGUGCAUGGUUGUCGUCAGCUCGUGUCGUGAGAUGUUGGGUUAAGUCCCGCAACGAGCGCAACCCUUGAUCUUAGUUGCCAGCAUUCAGUUGGGCACUCUAAGGUGACUGCCGGUGACAAACCGGAGGAAGGUGGGGAUGACGUCAAAUCAUCAUGCCCCUUAUGACCUGGGCUACACACGUGCUACAAUGGAUGGAACAAAGGGUCGCGAAGCCGCGAGGUGAAGCCAAUCCCAUAAAUCCAUUCUCAGUUCGGAUUGCAGGCUGCAACUCGCCUGCAUGAAGCCGGAAUCGCUAGUAAUCGCGGAUCAGCAUGCCGCGGUGAAUACGUUCCCGGGCCUUGUACACACCGCCCGUCACACCACGAGAGUUUGUAACACCCGAAGUCGGUGGGGUAACCUUUUGGAGCCAAUCGCGUAAGAGUGCAGCCGAUGAUCGGGGGAAGUCUUAAAAGACCCUUUG